CCUACGGGUGGCUGCUGUGAGGAAUAUUGGUCAAUGGGCGCGAGCCUGAACCAGCCAUGUAGCGUGAAGGAUGACUGCCCUACGGGUUGUACACUUCUUUUAUAAAGGAAUAAUGUUAGGCACGUGUGGAUUUUUGAAUGUACUUUAUGAAUAAGGAUCGGCUAACUCCGUGCCAGCAGCCGCGGUAAUACGGAGGAUCCGAGCGUUAUCCGGAUUUAUUGGGUUUAAAGGGUGCGUAGGUGGGCUGUUAAGUUAGUGGGUAAAGUUUGGGGCUCAACCCUACACUUGCAUCUGAUACUGUCUGUCUUGAGUACAGAUGAGGUAGGCGGAAUGCGUGGUGUAGCGGUGAAAUGCUUAGAUAUUACGAAGAACUCCGAUUGCGAAGGCAGCUUACUAAUCUGCCUCUGACAUUGAUGCUCGAAAGUGUGGGUAGCAAACAGGAUUAGAUACCCGUGUAGUC
RNAcentral lists this ribosomal RNA (460 nucleotides) under uncultured bacterium. RNAcentral describes it as "partial 16S ribosomal RNA". It matches the Rfam family "Bacterial small subunit ribosomal RNA", at positions 338 to 795 of the family's 1533-position model. The record is from RNAcentral.